UCAGCCCACUGAUAUUUGUGAUAC
Molecule: non-coding RNA, 24 nt
Filed under: Arabidopsis thaliana (thale cress)
Lineage: Eukaryota; Viridiplantae; Streptophyta; Magnoliopsida; Brassicales; Brassicaceae
Source: RNAcentral